UGCAGAGAAGAAACUAAGGUGGUAGGUUGU
Molecule: non-coding RNA, 30 nt
Filed under: Rattus norvegicus (Norway rat)
Lineage: Eukaryota; Metazoa; Chordata; Mammalia; Rodentia; Muridae
Source: RNAcentral